This 371-nucleotide ribosomal RNA is filed under the name uncultured organism. Its description in RNAcentral is "bacterial SSU rRNA". It matches the Rfam family "Bacterial small subunit ribosomal RNA", at positions 526 to 896 of the family's 1533-position model. The record is from RNAcentral.
CAGAGGGUGCAAGCGUUGUUCGGAAUUACUGGGCGUAAAGCGCGCGCAGGCGGGUCUGUAAGUCGGAAGUGAAAUCUCACUGCUCAACGGUGAGGCUGCUUCUGAUACUGCAGAUCUUGAGACCGGUAGAGGUUGGUGGAAUUGCAGGUGUAGCGGUGGAAUGCGUAGAGAUCUGCAAGAACACCCGUGGCGAAGGCGGCCAACUGGGCCGGUUCUGACGCUGAGGCGCGAAAGCGUGGGGAGCAAACAGGAUUAGAUACCCUGGUAGUCCACGCCGUAAACGAUGGGCACUAGGUGCUGGGGGAGCGACCCCUUCAGUGCCGUAGCUAACGCGAUAAGUGCCCCGCCUGGGGAGUACGGCCGCAAGGCUG